RNAcentral lists this ribosomal RNA (1092 nucleotides) under Triticum aestivum (bread wheat). RNAcentral describes it as "partial small subunit ribosomal RNA". The record is from RNAcentral. Lineage: Eukaryota; Viridiplantae; Streptophyta; Magnoliopsida; Poales; Poaceae.
AUGACCCGCUCCUCCUCCUCCUCCAGCCCACCGCCUGCCGCGUGCCACCUCCAGAUCACAACUGCUGCCACCACCGCCGCAGCCGCAAACUCCUCCGCCAAUCCCUCCUCCCCCGUCGCCCACUCCUCCUCCUCCUCCUCCUCCCGCGUCGCCGGAGCCGCCGCCGGGUCCGGGCAGAACCAGGCCUGCGCGGCCUGCAAGUACCAGCGCCGCAAGUGCAACCCGGACUGCCCGCUCGCCCCUUACUUCCCCGCCGACCAGCAGCGCCGCUUCCUCAACGCGCACCGCCUCUUCGGCGUCGGCCACAUCCAGGCCACGCUCCGGGAGACCCCGCCCGACCUGCACACCGACGCCAUGCGCGCGCUCAUCUUCCAGGCCGAGGCCCGGGCCUACGACCCCGUCGGGGGCUGCUGCCGCAUCAUCCUCGACUACGAGAGGCAGCUCGGCCUCGCGCAGGCCGAGCUCGCCGCGCUCCUACGCCACCUCGAUCUCUGCCGCCACCAGGCCGCCGCCAUGGCCCAGGACGCGCUCGUCGACGACCCAGGGAUGCUGCUGCUUGCCCCGGGGCCCAACCCGGCCGAUGUCCAGGACGGUGUCGCCGCUCUCGACGCGCUCUACGCCGGCCACGAGAUCAGCAAUGGCCAGGCUAACCACCACGAUCACGAUCAUUAUCUGGUCGGCGCCACGGACCAGCUGCAGCCGCAGAAGCACCAGCCUUACGACUACUUCUACUACGACGGGCCGGCGGCCGUCGACGAGAGCAGCAGCCAAGCUUGGAGCAAUGCCGGCAACGUGCAGCAACACUACGGAAAUGGCGUCAAGGCCGAAUCUCCGGUGGCGAUCGACGAUCAGAUCGAGACACAGUUCGUCGACGCUUUCGACGUGAAGCCAGAGAUAGCAGCAUCAUCGUCAGCCGCCGUCAUGGAACACGACGACGGCGGCGGUGGCGCCAGCUUCGACCACCGCCACCUGGAGCAGAAGGCGGUGGCCACCGUGGUGAAAAAUGAACGGCUUGACCACCAGGCGGCGGCGCACAUGGCAGCAGAGUCGUCGUCCCGCUGCCAGCUGGAGCUAGGGUUCUCUUCCUUCUGA